GAUGAACGCUGGCGGCGUGCCUAAUACAUGCAAGUCGAGCGAACAGACGAGGAGCUUGCUCCUCUGACGUUAGCGGCGGACGGGUGAGUAACACGUGGAUAACCUACCUAUAAGACUGGGAUAACUUCGGGAAACCGGAGCUAAUACCGGAUAAUAUAUUGAACCGCAUGGUUCAAUAUUGAAAGACGGUUUUGCUUUCACUUAUAGAUGGAUCCGCGCCGCAUUAGCUAGUUGGUAAGGUAACGGCUUACCAAGGCGACGAUGCGUAGCCGACCUGAGAGGGUGAUCGGCCACACUGGAACUGAGACACGGUCCAGACUCCUACGGGAGGCAGCAGUAGGGAAUCUUCCGCAAUGGGCGAAAGCCUGACGGAGCAACGCCGCGUGAGUGAUGAAGGUCUUCGGAUCGUAAAACUCUGUUAUUAGGGAAGAACAAAUGUGUAAGUAACUAUGCACGUCUUGACGGUACCUAAUCAGAAAGCCACGGCUAACUACGUG
This 497-nucleotide ribosomal RNA is filed under the name uncultured bacterium. RNAcentral describes it as "partial 16S ribosomal RNA". It matches the Rfam family "Bacterial small subunit ribosomal RNA", at positions 28 to 507 of the family's 1533-position model. The record is from RNAcentral.